AUUGUAUGGCUAUAUAAGUGUUUGAGUCUUGGUUUUGUGAGGCAAAUAUCGUUGGUUCUAUUUUGCUUGCUGUUACUUUACUCUGGUAUUUCAUAAUUGGAAUUCUCUAUGUUAUCUGGGAGGAUUAUUCUAAUGACUUCAUUUGUUGAUUCACCUGUGGAUUGCUGAUUCUUUUAUUAGAGAAAAUAAGCUUGUGUCCAUGAAGCUGAUUCUGCUUGACCAACAUUUGAAUUGAAGAAGCAAAGUUCAUGCUCAGUUCAGUUGACUAACAAUACUUACCACUAUGUUGCUUUUAAGGUCAAGACCACAUCGCCGAAGAAAUAUAUCAGGUUGAGGUUUGUCUGCAGCAGAGUUUUUUCUUCCCCCUCUGCGGUGCCGUGCUUUUUUGUGCAAGGAUUGGUGAUAUUCUUGUACUGCUCUCGGGUUUUACCAUUUUACUUGAAGACCUGUUUCUGGUUGCUUCUCGUUGAUUUGAGUGGCAAGUUUGGUUUGAAUUGGUCGCACAUGUUGUGCGUAGGUUGUUGGGGUGGGAAUGCAAAUCAGUUUGUGUGUUAUUUGGAGAGAUAAUGAUUGACUGAGUAUUUAAAUUUGGGGAGUUGAAUUGAGGCGCAAGAUUAGGAGCAAGGGGUGGGUUAUUUGCUGACACAGUAUUUUGUGGAAGAGAGUGGGGAAGUGAGGUUGAAUUUGAAUUAGAAGAUGAGGCAGGUAAAGAAGAGUAAGGAAAAAUAUUCUUAACAAACCUUACAUGUUGUGAUCAGUGAUGUAUACAGUUUUUCCUUAUAUUCUUGAGUUUGUUCUUUUCAGAUUUUUUUCCUCUUUAGCCUUUGGCUUUCUUUUGUAUUUUGGUUGAGGUACCCAUAGUCCCAUAGUACCUCCUUCAAUAUAUUAUC
Molecule: long non-coding RNA, 890 nt
Organism: Lotus japonicus
Lineage: Eukaryota; Viridiplantae; Streptophyta; Magnoliopsida; Fabales; Fabaceae
Exons: 3
Source: RefSeq, a predicted model, not a curated record